AUUACUUUAUAUUGAUUUUAUUAGAAUAUUUGAUUCUUUAAGACCCUUACGAGGAAUACAAAAAUAUCGAAAGUUGUAAAAAAGAAAGUCGUUCAAAAUUAUGCGUCAAUUUACAGAUUAACAGAGCAACUUGUAAUUACUUAAUUGACAUUCAUUACCGGUAGAGAGGUCGUGCUAUCACAUCCAUAAAUGCAUCGAGUGUAGUCCAAUCGCCAUAGUGUUUUCAUCUAACACUCACCCUUUUUCUCUUUUUACAAACGUUACACAUAUUUUUGUUAAAAAAAUGUUAGCACUUUUUACGGAAUUCCUUUGACAACAAUUUCCUUGAAACAUUUUUUAAGGGAACGAAAAAGGAUUCGAAUUUACAUUAAAUUAAUAAUUUUGUGCUUUAUGGACUUUGGGAGAGACUUUAUCAUGUGACCAAUGUGGACAAGAAUGUGCUGGAAUUUGUGGUACACGACAAUUUCGAGCCUGUUGCUUCAACAAUAUGA
Molecule: long non-coding RNA, 491 nt
Filed under: Polistes fuscatus (common paper wasp)
Lineage: Eukaryota; Metazoa; Arthropoda; Insecta; Hymenoptera; Vespidae
Description: uncharacterized LOC122516869
Source: RNAcentral